GCGCCGAUAGCUCAGCUGGAUAGAGCGUUUGGCUACGAACCAAAAGGUCGGGAGUUCGAAUCUUCUUCGGCGUGCCA
Molecule: transfer RNA, 77 nt
Filed under: Clostridia bacterium
Lineage: Bacteria; Bacillati; Bacillota; Clostridia
Description: tRNA-Arg
Rfam family: tRNA
About the family: Transfer RNA (tRNA) molecules are approximately 80 nucleotides in length. Their secondary structure includes four short double-helical elements and three loops (D, anti-codon, and T loops). Further hydrogen bonds mediate the characteristic L-shaped molecular structure. tRNAs have two regions of fundamental functional importance: the anti-codon, which is responsible for specific mRNA codon recognition, and the 3' end, to which the tRNAs corresponding amino acid is attached (by aminoacyl-tRNA synthetases). tRNAs cope with the degeneracy of the genetic code in two manners: having more than one tRNA (with a specific anti-codon) for a particular amino acid; and 'wobble' base-pairing, i.e. permitting non-standard base-pairing at the 3rd anti-codon position.
Source: RNAcentral